UUGGAGGGCAAGUCUGGUGCCAGCAGCCGCGGUAAUUCCAGCUCCAAUAGCGUAUAUUAAAGUUGUUGCAGUUAAAAAGCUCGUAGUUGAAUUUCGGGGUCAGUAGGUCGGUCGUGCCACUGGUAUGAGCUGGUUUUACUGAUUCCUCCCUCUUGAAGAACUGUAAUGCCAUUAAUUUGGUGUUGCAGGGAAUCAGGACUGUUACUUUGAAAAAAUUAGAGUGUUUAAAGCAGGCUUUAGCUUGAAUACAUUAGCAUGGAAUAAUGAAAUAGGACGUUUGAUCCUAUUUUGUUGGUUUCUAGGAUUGACGUAAUGAUUAAUAGGGAUAGUUGGGGGCAUUAGUAUUCAAUUGUCAGAGGUGAAAUUCUUGGAUUUAUUGAAGACUAACUACUGCGAAAGCAUUUGCCAAGGAUGUUUUCAUUAAUCAAGAACGAAAGUUAGGGGAUCGAAGACGAUCAGAUACCGUCGUAGUCUUAACCAUAAACUAUGCCGACUAGGGAUCGGACGAUGUUAAUUUUUUAAUGACUCGUUCGGCGCCUUACGGGAAAC
RNAcentral lists this ribosomal RNA (549 nucleotides) under uncultured Rhizophagus. RNAcentral's name for it is "SSU rRNA". It matches the Rfam family "Eukaryotic small subunit ribosomal RNA", at positions 548 to 1098 of the family's 1831-position model. Lineage: Eukaryota; Fungi; Glomeromycota; Glomeromycetes; Glomerales; Glomeraceae. The record is from RNAcentral.